RNAcentral lists this unclassified non-coding RNA (366 nucleotides) under uncultured fungus. Its description in RNAcentral is "partial contains small subunit ribosomal RNA, internal transcribed spacer 1, and 5.8S ribosomal RNA". The stretch from base 1 to 73 matches the Rfam family "Eukaryotic small subunit ribosomal RNA", at positions 1759 to 1831 of the family's 1831-position model. Lineage: Eukaryota; Fungi. The record is from RNAcentral.
UCAAACUUGGUCAUUUAGAGGAAGUAAAAGUCGUAACAAGGUUUCCGUAGGUGAACCUGCGGAAGGAUCAUUAUUGAAUAAUAUAACUCGAUGGGUUGUAGCUGGCCUCUUGAGGCAUGUGCACACCUGUCUUGAUUCUAUUCAUCCACCUGUGCACCUCUUGUAGUUCCUUCACUCUCUGGAUUUGAGGAUUGCUUCACAGCUUUCUUCUCCUUGGUCUUGUGCCUUAUCAGAGAGGAAGAGACUAUGUUUCAUAAACCAUGUAGUAUGUUGCCAGAAUGUAUUCAAUGGGCCUUUGUGCCUAUAUAAAUCUAUACAACUUUCAGCAACGGAUCUCUUGGCUCUCGCAUCGAUGAAGAACGCAGC